This 578-nucleotide ribosomal RNA is filed under the name Dujonia zeylanoides. Its description in RNAcentral is "LSU rRNA". It matches the Rfam family "Eukaryotic large subunit ribosomal RNA", at positions 38 to 632 of the family's 3401-position model. The record is from RNAcentral. Lineage: Eukaryota; Fungi; Ascomycota; Pichiomycetes; Serinales; Debaryomycetaceae.
GCAUAUCAAUAAGCGGAGGAAAAGAAACCAACAGGGAUUGCCUCAGUAACGGCGAGUGAAGCGGCAAAAGCUCAAAUUUGAAAUCUAGCACUUUCAGUGUUCGAGUUGUAAUUUGAAGAAGGUAACUUUGGUUUUGGCUCUUGUCUAUGUUCCUUGGAACAGGACGUCACAGAGGGUGAGAAUCCCGUGCGAUGAGAUGCCCAAUUCCAUGUAAAGUGCUUUCGAAGAGUCGAGUUGUUUGGGAAUGCAGCUCUAAGUGGGUGGUAAAUUCCAUCUAAAGCUAAAUAUUGGCGAGAGACCGAUAGCGAACAAGUACAGUGAUGGAAAGAUGAAAAGAACUUUGAAAAGAGAGUGAAAAAGUACGUGAAAUUGUUGAAAGGGAAGGGCUUGAGAUCAGACUUGGUAUUUUGCGUUCCCUUCCUUUUUGGUUGGGUUCCUCGCAGUUUACUGGGCCAGCAUCGGUUUGGAUGGUAGGAUAAUGACAUUGGAAUGUAGCUUUACUUCGGUGAAGUGUUAUAGACUUUGUUGAUACUGCCUAUCUAGACCGAGGACUGCGUCUUUGACUAGGAUGCUGGCGU